RNAcentral lists this ribosomal RNA (2900 nucleotides) under Klebsiella pneumoniae UCICRE 4. RNAcentral describes it as "bacterial LSU rRNA". It matches the Rfam family "Bacterial large subunit ribosomal RNA". The record is from RNAcentral. Lineage: Bacteria; Pseudomonadati; Pseudomonadota; Gammaproteobacteria; Enterobacterales; Enterobacteriaceae.
UUAAGCGACUAAGCGUACACGGUGGAUGCCCUGGCAGUCAGAGGCGAUGAAGGACGUGCUAAUCUGCGAAAAGCGUCGGUAAGGUGAUAUGAACCGUUAUAACCGGCGAUGUCCGAAUGGGGAAACCCAGUGCAAUUCGUUGCACUAUCGUUAACUGAAUACAUAGGUUAACGAGGCGAACCGGGGGAACUGAAACAUCUAAGUACCCCGAGGAAAAGAAAUCAACCGAGAUUCCCCCAGUAGCGGCGAGCGAACGGGGAGCAGCCCAGAGUCUGAAUCAGCUUGUGUGUUAGUGGAACGGUCUGGAAAGUCCGACGGUACAGGGUGAUAGUCCCGUACACCAAAAUGCACAGGUUGUGAACUCGAAGAGUAGGGCGGGACACGUGGUAUCCUGUCUGAAUAUGGGGGGACCAUCCUCCAAGGCUAAAUACUCCUGACUGACCGAUAGUGAACCAGUACCGUGAGGGAAAGGCGAAAAGAACCCCGGCGAGGGGAGUGAAAAAGAACCUGAAACCGUGUACGUACAAGCAGUGGGAGCACCUUCGGGUGUGACUGCGUACCUUUUGUAUAAUGGGUCAGCGACUUAUAUUCUGUAGCAAGGUUAACCGUAUAGGGGAGCCGCAGGGAAACCGAGUCUUAACUGGGCGUUAAGUUGCAGGGUAUAGACCCGAAACCCGGUGAUCUAGCCAUGGGCAGGUUGAAGGUUGGGUAACACUAACUGGAGGACCGAACCGACUAAUGUUGAAAAAUUAGCGGAUGACUUGUGGCUGGGGGUGAAAGGCCAAUCAAACCGGGAGAUAGCUGGUUCUCCCCGAAAGCUAUUUAGGUAGCGCCUCGUGAACUCAUCUUCGGGGGUAGAGCACUGUUUCGGCUAGGGGGUCAUCCCGACUUACCAACCCGAUGCAAACUACGAAUACCGAAGAAUGUUAUCACGGGAGACACACGGCGGGUGCUAACGUCCGUCGUGAAGAGGGAAACAACCCAGACCGCCAGCUAAGGUCCCAAAGUCAUGGUUAAGUGGGAAACGAUGUGGGAAGGCACAGACAGCCAGGAUGUUGGCUUAGAAGCAGCCAUCAUUUAAAGAAAGCGUAAUAGCUCACUGGUCGAGUCGGCCUGCGCGGAAGAUGUAACGGGGCUAAACCAUGCACCGAAGCUGCGGCAGCGACACUAUGUGUUGUUGGGUAGGGGAGCGUUCUGUAAGCCUGCGAAGGUGACCUGUGAGGGUUGCUGGAGGUAUCAGAAGUGCGAAUGCUGACAUAAGUAACGAUAAAGCGGGUGAAAAGCCCGCUCGCCGGAAGACCAAGGGUUCCUGUCCAACGUUAAUCGGGGCAGGGUGAGUCGACCCCUAAGGCGAGGCCGAAAGGCGUAGUCGAUGGGAAACAGGUUAAUAUUCCUGUACUUGGUGUUACUGCGAAGGGGGGACGGAGAAGGCUAUGUUAGCCGGGCGACGGUUGUCCCGGUUUAAGCAUGUAGGCUGAUUAUCCAGGCAAAUCCGGAUAAUCAAGGCUGAGGUGUGAUGACGAGGCACUACGGUGCUGAAGUAACAAAUGCCCUGCUUCCAGGAAAAGCCUCUAAGCAUCAGGUAACAUCAAAUCGUACCCCAAACCGACACAGGUGGUCAGGUAGAGAAUACCAAGGCGCUUGAGAGAACUCGGGUGAAGGAACUAGGCAAAAUGGUGCCGUAACUUCGGGAGAAGGCACGCUGGUGUGUAGGUGAAGUCCCUGCGGAUGGAGCUGAGACCAGUCGAAGAUACCAGCUGGCUGCAACUGUUUAUUAAAAACACAGCACUGUGCAAACACGAAAGUGGACGUAUACGGUGUGACGCCUGCCCGGUGCCGGAAGGUUAAUUGAUGGGGUUAUCCGUAAGGAGAAGCUCUUGAUCGAAGCCCCGGUAAACGGCGGCCGUAACUAUAACGGUCCUAAGGUAGCGAAAUUCCUUGUCGGGUAAGUUCCGACCUGCACGAAUGGCGUAAUGAUGGCCAGGCUGUCUCCACCCGAGACUCAGUGAAAUUGAACUCGCUGUGAAGAUGCAGUGUACCCGCGGCAAGACGGAAAGACCCCGUGAACCUUUACUAUAGCUUGACACUGAACAUUGAGCCUUGAUGUGUAGGAUAGGUGGGAGGCUUUGAAGCGUGGACGCCAGUCUGCGUGGAGCCAACCUUGAAAUACCACCCUUUAAUGUUUGAUGUUCUAACGUUGGCCCCUGACCGGGGUUGCGGACAGUGUCUGGUGGGUAGUUUGACUGGGGCGGUCUCCUCCCAAAGCGUAACGGAGGAGCACGAAGGUUAGCUAAUCCUGGUCGGACAUCAGGAGGUUAGUGCAAUGGCAUAAGCUAGCUUGACUGCGAGCGUGACGGCGCGAGCAGGUGCGAAAGCAGGUCAUAGUGAUCCGGUGGUUCUGAAUGGAAGGGCCAUCGCUCAACGGAUAAAAGGUACUCCGGGGAUAACAGGCUGAUACCGCCCAAGAGUUCAUAUCGACGGCGGUGUUUGGCACCUCGAUGUCGGCUCAUCACAUCCUGGGGCUGAAGUAGGUCCCAAGGGUAUGGCUGUUCGCCAUUUAAAGUGGUACGCGAGCUGGGUUUAGAACGUCGUGAGACAGUUCGGUCCCUAUCUGCCGUGGGCGCUGGAGAAUUGAGGGGGGCUGCUCCUAGUACGAGAGGACCGGAGUGGACGCAUCACUGGUGUUCGGGUUGUCAUGCCAAUGGCACUGCCCGGUAGCUAAAUGCGGAAGAGAUAAGUGCUGAAAGCAUCUAAGCACGAAACUUGCCCCGAGAUGAGUUCUCCCUGAGACUUUAAGUCUCCUGAAGGAACGUUAAAGACGAUGACGUUGAUAGGCCGGGUGUGUAAGCGCAGCGAUGCGUUGAGCUAACCGGUACUAAUGAACCGUGAGGCUUAACCUU